This 371-nucleotide ribosomal RNA is filed under the name uncultured bacterium. Its description in RNAcentral is "bacterial SSU rRNA". It matches the Rfam family "Bacterial small subunit ribosomal RNA", at positions 527 to 896 of the family's 1533-position model. The record is from RNAcentral.
AGAGGUGGCGAGCGUUGUUCGGAAUUACUGGGCGUAAAGGGCGCGUAGGCGGUUCGAUAAGUCCCGUGUGAAAUCCCUCGGCUCAACUGAGGAACUGCACGGGAAACUGACGGGCUUGAGUUCGGGAGAGGGAAGCGGAAUUCCGGGUGUAGCGGUGAAAUGCGUAGAUAUCCGGAGGACCACCGGUGGCGAAGGCGGCUUCCUGGACCGACACUGACGCUGAGGCGCGAAAGCUAGGGGAGCAAACGGGAUUAGAUACCCCGGUAGUCCUAGCUGUAAACGAUGAGUGCUGGGUGUAGGGGGUAUCUACCCCCCCUGUGCCGAAGCUAACGCAUUAAGCACUCCGCCUGGGGAGUACGGUCGCAAGGCUG